UGGAAUAAUUACAUAUGUACGAUAAUUUUACCAGAAGUACAAUAAUUUCAACCUGUGUAGUACGAUAAUAUGGCCAAGACAAUCUGGCAACGCUGAGUCUGCUGCCUGACAAAAUAACCAGUCAGUGUGUCGCGUCUAUAGGUGGUGUUAGUAAGCGUCUGUUUCAACUCCCAGCCUGACAGAAUUUUUUAUUUUUUUUUUUGUUUGUUUGUUUUUCUUUGUGUAACCACGCCUACACAGUGGCUGCCAAGGCUUACCCAUGAGUUAAACCUUCUUUAGUUGGUAAUGAGGAAGGCCUGGGCUCUAGCAGUGGACACCCGAAGGCAGCAGUGGGUGAAAACAAGCAAAAUUAAGAAAAGUUUGGCUGUGAGAAGGUGCUAGACAGCCAGCCAUAGUGACGAGGAGGCACCACCACCAUCACCACCACAGGGAAGGCCAAGUACCAAGUCAAAUCAAUAUACUGAGGCACUUCAGUUUGGUACUUUAAAGGGACCUGUACUGGAAGUUGUGUAACAUUAAGUCAAUGUCCUAUAGUAUUAUUCAUCUGCAGGUUUGUUUGUAUCUUAAAUGUCAUUAUUCAUUCCAGGUGACAUGUAUAACACCAAAGUCAUUAGCCGUGUCUUUCAAAGAACAUAAACUUUGUUUCUUCCAGUUCUCUUGCUUUUCAUGUGUCUGCUUCUUAGUAGUUGCAUGUCAGACAUAAAAUAUAGUAAAGAACUUUUGUGCACUUUUUUAUAAUUUGUGAGUAUUUAAGGUACAUCAAUUUCCAAUGAAAACUGAGCUGGAAAUAAUCUAACAUUUGCUAUGGCAAAUUAGUAAAUAAAUGCAUCAUUCUGCACACCAAAAGUGCUGCAAAGCCACUUAUGAACCAAAGAUGCACCAGUUUGUGAUGCAUGCACAUUCAGAACUUACACUAUUAUUCAUAUCGUGACUUGGUACUUCCACAAAAAUUUAUUUCUUGCCAUGGUCAUCCAUGACACUGCUAUGGACAACAAAGCAGAGUUGGUUAAUAUUAAGGUUUUGAUACACUUUUACCACUGUAAAAUCUCACUGAUUAUCCACUGAUUAAUUUUCAAAAAGGCCACAUGCAAAUCCAUAUUCAUUUACUUUCCUGAACAUGGUGCUAUCACCCAUCAUAUGCCAUGCACUAACACUAUCACAGUAGGUUUUACAGAAAAAAAUAAAAUAAAUAAAUAAAUAAAUAAAAUAAAUUAAUUAAAUUUUAAAAAAUUCACAAAUUUCAUCUUCAGAAUUUUAAAAGCAAACAAACAUUUCAGAAGUUCUGAAACUCUUAUCACUUAUAAUAAUAUGAAAAAGUUCUUACUCUGUGUGUGAGUCCUUAGCAUGUCACAAAACUCCAGUUUCUAUAUAUGAAGUCUAAAUCUCUUGCCUCCAAGCUCCCUAAUCCUUAUGCUGAUAGUAUCCUGUCUCUUCUAGCAAUUAGGGUUGGUGUCCUCUACCACACCAUAUGCCAUCUUUUGCAUUCCUUUCUAUAUUUUAUGUAAGCUAAUAAACAUUUACCCUUGUUCAUUUUUCUUAUGCUCAAAGAAAUUAUGAGAUUCACAGGCUUGAUUCUCAGAGGUGAAUGUCCUUCUGUGAAUAAAUGGCAGAUGACUUUCAGCUCUGCUCAACUACUGGCAAGUCCAGUUUUCUGGGGCACUCAGAACUGCCUAGGUGGUAGGAUACACUUGACACUGAGAUCCCUCAGCCCAGCCAGCCAAUGAGGACUGAUUGUUGAUAGUGUAAGCACAACAUAAAUCCCUAUUAUCUAGACUUGCUUAGGUCACCAUCAUCAUAAUAUAUUUACUAGCUAUCCUCCUGUAAUGCAAUUGGCUGCUGCCCUGUGGAAUUCUAUCACAGCCAUCCUCUUGGGGUCAGAUAUAGAUGGACACAAGUGUCAGGUUGAGACAGAUCCACCUAAAGAGCAGCCUAAUACUACAAUAUGAUAAAUGUCAGUUCAUAUCACUGAUUCCUUGUUCUUUUUAAUAAAUUCCUGCAACAGAAAGACAUCAACUUCUUUGCAUUUACACACAAACUAUGUAGCCUCAUGAAGCUUAAAUUUUCCACACAUCCCCUCAAAGUCUCAAAAUCACUUACUUUACUUGGUAUUUUCAAACUGCACACUAUUUUAUUUUUCCAAUAAAAUAGAAAUAAAAGAAACUUAAAUGUGAUUCCAAAACCAUGGAAAUAAUUUCCAGAACAAAUAUACAAAGACAUCAGAACAUGUAUGAGUUCUCAGCUUUUUGACUGUGACAUUUAUGACACUAAAGUAAGUUAUUCUGCCAUCACAAGAAAAAAUCUGCACACAGCUACAUAUUUACAAAAGAACACAAUGUCUGCUAUGGGUCACACACUCUGAAACAAUAAACAGUAACUUGAAACAAAAUAAAUAGAAAUAAGAAAUUAAUUAAAAAUUACUUAACUUGAAAUUUAAAAGAAAUUUAUGUAUACAGUUAACCCUCGAUACAGCUAAGCCCAAUAUAACAUACUGGAUACCAUAAAUGCUUAGAUCUCAUUGAGCAAGCCUUGCAUUUACCAUACUCUUUAUCAUUAUAAGUGGCAAAAAUAAGGAGCUUUGAAGCCCCCCCCAAAUAACCAUCACAUACUGGAAAUUGAUUUUUGCAAAGAGAGGCAAAAACUAGUAACGAAUAUUUAAAUAAGUAUCAACAAACAACUACCUUUACAUAAUGACCUGAGUUCACAAAAAGAACUCAUUGUAACAACCAAUGGAAAGAGCAAAUUUUCAGAUAUUAUGAACUGGCCUUCCCCAUAACAUUUCAUUAUAUUGAGGGUUUACUGUACUAUUUUACAAUAACUAUAAUGAUGUUUAUUAUAAAAAGAAACAAAAAUGUAUUCUAAAAGAUAAUUCAAGAAAGCCACGAUAAAGUCUCACUAAUACAGUAAGUGUAGCAUGUGUAUGAGUUGGAUAAAAUCUUGGCUAAAGAUCAUUUUCAUUAUUGUAGUCACCACAUUUUAAGGUAGAAAAUUAUAUCUCACUGUUUCUAUGUUUCAAAUAUUAAAUUUUGUACCACUCCUAAGGUAAUAAAAGAAAUUCCAUCAGUA
Long non-coding RNA from Scylla paramamosain (green mud crab), 3063 nucleotides. RefSeq lists it as uncharacterized. The record is from RefSeq and is a predicted model, not a curated record. The transcript is spliced from 2 exons. Lineage: Eukaryota; Metazoa; Arthropoda; Malacostraca; Decapoda; Portunidae.